RNAcentral lists this transfer RNA (83 nucleotides) under Corynebacterium pyruviciproducens. Its description in RNAcentral is "tRNA-Leu". It matches the Rfam family "tRNA". From Rfam's summary of the family: Transfer RNA (tRNA) molecules are approximately 80 nucleotides in length. Their secondary structure includes four short double-helical elements and three loops (D, anti-codon, and T loops). RNAcentral also lists the same sequence under 1 other name. Lineage: Bacteria; Bacillati; Actinomycetota; Actinomycetes; Mycobacteriales; Corynebacteriaceae. The record is from RNAcentral.
GCCGACAUGGCGGAAUUGGCAGACGCACUGCACUCAAAAUGCAGCGCCCUUUGGGCGUCCGGGUUCGACUCCCGGUGUCGGCA